Molecule: long non-coding RNA, 778 nt
Organism: Ostrea edulis (European flat oyster)
Lineage: Eukaryota; Metazoa; Mollusca; Bivalvia; Ostreida; Ostreidae
Exons: 2
Source: RefSeq, a predicted model, not a curated record
UUCACUUUACAUGUUACGACGUACUCUGCUUUAUGCAAAACCAUAGGCCUAUGUAUUUUUAUUCUGUAUAUAUCUGUGUGUAUACGUCUGAAAAGUUCAAAACUAUUGAAAUGGUUUUGUUUUCUAAGGGUGGUAUGUGAUACAAUUCUCGCAGACAAAGAACUCAGCCCCCUGGUAUAGGCCUAGUAAAAUCAAAUCAAUUAGAGGAGACAGGGGAAACGAGGGAGGAGAAAGUCCAAGCACCUUAGACAGAUGGUGUCAUGUAUCAUAUGGAGAUAUUGAAUUUGAAAGUGCAUUUGCCAUUACAACAUUGGGGAUGGUCAACAUAGACAUUCAUGAUUGUGAAAGCCAUAAACACAAAUAAUGGAACCAUGUACUGUGCUGUUAAAGAAAAUAGACUAUCUAAGUAGACGUCCAGUGCAUUAUUUCAUUUAAUUCAAAAGUCAACAUUGUGUAAUUUUUUUCGUGGAUGACAUUGAUUAUUUGAUCUGAAUUUGCAAAAAUUGGAUUGAGUGGGAAUAAGUGCUGUGAUUUCAAAUGAAAGCCAUGAUAGACACAUUGCUUUUUCAUCCAGAUGUAAGUAAAAUCAUAAAUGCAUGUUUUCAAUUCAUAUAUUGAAAAUUCAGUUUAUUGGAAAUGACUGUGACUUGUGGGUAAUUGUUUUUUUUUAUUAUUAUUAUUUAUAAUUAAAAAACUUAUAUUAUUGAGAACAGUAUAAAUCUAUGGCUAAUUCUCUAAAUUUGAUGUGUUUUUUAUGCAUAUUAAAUCAAUAUAAAUU